RNAcentral lists this transfer RNA (71 nucleotides) under Leucobryum juniperoideum. RNAcentral's name for it is "tRNA-Cys". It matches the Rfam family "tRNA". Rfam says of the family: Transfer RNA (tRNA) molecules are approximately 80 nucleotides in length. RNAcentral also lists the same sequence under 1 other name. Lineage: Eukaryota; Viridiplantae; Streptophyta; Bryopsida; Dicranales; Leucobryaceae. The record is from RNAcentral.
GGCGAUAUGGCCAAGUGGUAAGGCAGAGGACUGCAAAUCCUUUAUCCCCAGUUCAAAUCUGGGUAUCGCCU